GAUGAACGCUGGCGGCGUGCCUAAUACAUGCAAGUCGAGCGAACGGACGAGAAGCUUGCUUCUCUGACGUUAGCGGCGGACGGGUGAGUAACACGUGGAUAACCUACCUAUAAGACUGGGAUAACUUCGGGAAACCGGAGCUAAUACCGGAUAAUAUUUUGAACCGCAUGGUUCAAUAGUGAAAGACGGUCUUGCUGUCACUUAUAGAUGGAUCCGCGCUGCAUUAGCUAGUUGGUAAGGUAACGGCUUACCAAGGCAACGAUGCAUAGCCGACCUCAGAGGGUGAUCGGCCACACUGGAACUGAGACACGGUCCAGACUCCUACGGGAGGCAGCAGUAGGGAAUCUUCCGCAAUGGGCGAAAGCCUGACGGAGCAACGCCGCGUGAGUGAUGAAGGUCUUCGGAUCGUAAAACUCUGUUAUUAGGGAAGAACAUAUGUGUAAGUAACUGUGCACGUCUUGACGGUACCUAAUCAGAAAGCCACGGCUAACUACGUG
RNAcentral lists this ribosomal RNA (497 nucleotides) under uncultured bacterium. RNAcentral's name for it is "partial 16S ribosomal RNA". It matches the Rfam family "Bacterial small subunit ribosomal RNA", at positions 28 to 507 of the family's 1533-position model. The record is from RNAcentral.